Transfer RNA from Aspergillus cristatus, 97 nucleotides. It matches the Rfam family "tRNA". Rfam says of the family: Transfer RNA (tRNA) molecules are approximately 80 nucleotides in length. Their secondary structure includes four short double-helical elements and three loops (D, anti-codon, and T loops). NCBI's taxonomy places the organism in Eukaryota, Fungi, Ascomycota, Eurotiomycetes, Eurotiales, Aspergillaceae. The record is from Rfam.
GCCGAGCUAGCUCAAUUGGUCAGAGCGUCGGACUUUUAUGUUCUGUAUUUCUUUGGAGUAAAUCCGAAGGUUGCGGGUUCGAGUCCCGCGUUCGGCG